This 277-nucleotide unclassified non-coding RNA is filed under the name Hevea brasiliensis (rubber tree). The record is from RNAcentral. Lineage: Eukaryota; Viridiplantae; Streptophyta; Magnoliopsida; Malpighiales; Euphorbiaceae.
UCAGUGCAGUCAAGCAACACAAUGGAUCCACUUGUGAUGACUUAUCAUCGAUGGUUCAAGCAGUCAAAAUCCCUUCAAUCUUGUCUCAGCACCGGAAGUUUGCCUUGCUUACUGGAGAGCUUCGGCAGAUUAUAUAAAUCAACACUCUGCCAAGAAGCUAAACCUUGUGACUUUGGCAAACUAUUUUUAGUGUAGAUCCUGGAAUUAAUUUUAGCACCUGCCAAGUUGGAAAUUUGCUUGGGCAAUUGGGUAAUAUUUGUUGUCUUAUUAAUAAUCU